CUUUCUCCUCUAACCAGAUACCAUGAUUGUACAUGCCACAGGUUUCAAACUCGCUCAUCUCAAUGGUUUCCUCUGUGCUGCGGAGAGGAGAGGAUGAUAUCACUCAAGUUUAUGCCCUGAGAACAAUUGAAAAUGUAUGCAGUCAAGGGGGGCAAUGGGCUACACGAUUCACUAGCCAAGAUGUAAUCAGUAACCUGUGUUACAUAUAUAGAGCACCAGGAAAACAAGAGAGCAUGAGGCUUACUGCAGGUUCAUGUUUGGUUCGUCUUGCUCGAUUCAAUCCUUCUAGCAUCCAAUCAGUUAUGGAGAAACUGACAUUCAAGGAGGCUGCAGCUUCAAUUAUGAAAGGAAAUGCACGUGAGCAGCAGUUAAGUCUGAACCUCUUAAGCAUAGCCAUUCUUGGAAAUCAUAUGUUCACAAACCUGGGAAAACAUCUUUUGCCACUGGCUGAAGACAAGAAUUUGGCUCCAGCUCUUGUUUCUAUUGCCGAGCAGGGUAGUGAAAUUUUGAAAGGAAAGGC
RNAcentral lists this long non-coding RNA (520 nucleotides) under Linum usitatissimum (flax). RNAcentral describes it as "long non-coding RNA (LUSI_LNC007157)". The record is from RNAcentral. Lineage: Eukaryota; Viridiplantae; Streptophyta; Magnoliopsida; Malpighiales; Linaceae.